AACCUCACCCCCCCUCCCCCCGCUCAUCUCUCUCUUUCUCCUCCAUUAAUCCUCCAUUGAAGAGACCUUCAAAGCUUCAUAUAUCAUCUCUACACCAAAAAUCAUCCAUAGAAAUCAAACUCUACACCUCUAUAUCCUUGAAAUCAAGAUUUAUUAGAAAGAUUUUCCAAGCUAGAGUCAAGAGGGAAGGAUUUUCAUUUUCUCUCUAAAUCUUUGAAUACGAGCGAAGGACGGAAGUAUGUCACCUCGACUAUAUCAAGAGCUUGAGCUAAAGUCUUCAGGUGGGCAUUAUUUUGAAUAUACCUAUUAUAUGAGUUUUCUGAACUAAAAUGAUGAUGAUGUAUAUGAGUUUCUUAAAUGCUUUGACAUGAAAUGAUGUUUGAAACUAGUUGACUUGUCAAGUUUUGAUGAUGAUGAGCUUGUAUGUUACCCUCUACUGAUGAGACGAAUUCGGUUCUGCCACAAGCGAGAUUUUGUGCACAGAGGUGACUGUGAGCCGUCUAUCGGGUCAGCCGGUCACGGUACUUGAGAGGGAGGCCUACUUCUCAGUACCUUUGAUGAUGAUGAGUUGUAGAUGUGGUACAUACAUGAUGGAUGUUUAAACUGCGCAGUUAUUUAUUAUGACGUUAUGAAUUGUGAAAUUGCAUGCACAGGUUCUUUUAUACUAAAACCCCUGUGAGUUGCUUAUGGCGGGCAAGUUCAAUUUAUAGCUCUAAGAGCAAGUUUCUUGUUUUUCGGCAUAUGUCCACUGAGUAUUCUGUACUUAUACCCUGCAUGUAUUUCUAAACGUGCAGGAUAAGCGAUGAGUGAGAUUGGUCUGGUGCUGGUGGGGACAUGUUUCGAAUGAUGUUUUCUUGACUGUACUUCUGUUUUCUACGGUCGAGUCUUGAUGUAGAGUUAUUUUGGAUUUGAAUCAAGUAAUAUACUCUCGGUUAUAUGUCUUCAUAUAUAUAAUCUGUUUAC
Salvia miltiorrhiza (redroot sage) is the source of this 963-nucleotide long non-coding RNA. RefSeq lists it as uncharacterized. NCBI's taxonomy places the organism in Eukaryota, Viridiplantae, Streptophyta, Magnoliopsida, Lamiales, Lamiaceae. The transcript is spliced from 2 exons. The record is from RefSeq and is a predicted model, not a curated record.